Long non-coding RNA from Alligator mississippiensis (American alligator), 718 nucleotides. RefSeq lists it as uncharacterized. Lineage: Eukaryota; Metazoa; Chordata; Crocodylia; Alligatoridae. The transcript is spliced from 3 exons. The record is from RefSeq and is a predicted model, not a curated record.
UCUGAACUGGGGCAGGGCUAGGGCCGUGCUCUGUGUCCCAGGCUGUAGUGGGGGAUGGCACGUGCCGGCACUGGAGCAAGGGGUUUCUUGAAGAUAUCAAAAAUCUCCUCAUCCAAUAUCAAAGAACAUAUCAUUCACAUUUCCAUAACUGAACUCAGAGGACUGCAGAUGCAAGAAUAUUCUCUGUGUGGGAUCAUCUCUAUCCUAGUCAUCCCAUCUUCUUAUCAUGGUACCAGACUUUCUAAAAGUCUUGUAACUCUUAUGGAAGUUUUAAGGGCCUGAAAAUUUCCCAAAGAGCCUUACAAGUGGUGCUUUUCAUUUGGAGAUUUCAACACGCUUUGCAAUCAUUAACAGCUAAAUCCUCCCUUGGUUAUACUCAUGAAACUGAAGACAAUACAAUUUGUGUGUGUAUCUGGUGACAGAUUCGCCCUCGAUUAAUCUUCACAACACCCCUGCGAGUACUACUAUUGCACUGUCUUUUUAAUUCAUGCAAAUGGCUGGGAGACCCAUUGUGAAUUAGUGAAUUUUGCAAAUUAGAAAAUGAACAAACAAUAAAAAACCAGGGACAAUGCAUCAUAAAAUGUACUUUGUUCAUGUAUUUGAAAAAUGAAGUUUUGCUUUUAUCAAUUAUUAUAACAAUGCACUGUAAUUACAUCAUCACUUACACCAUACUAAUAGAUCUAAUGGUGCUUAUUUAAUAAAAAGAACUUCACUUGAA